GCAGUCGACGGUGAAGCAGAGCUUGCUCUGUGGAUCAGUGGCGAACGGGUGAGUAACACGUGAGCAACCUGCCCCUGACUCUGGGAUAAGCGCUGGAAACGGCGUCUAAUACUGGAUAUGUGACGUGACCGCAUGGUCUGCGUCUGGAAAGAAUUUCGGUUGGGGAUGGGCUCGCGGCCUAUCAGCUUGUUGGUGAGGUAAUGGCUCACCAAGGCGUCGACGGGUAGCCGGCCUGAGAGGGUGACCGGCCACACUGGGACUGAGACACGGCCCAGACUCCUACGGGAGGCAGCAGUGGGGAAUAUUGCACAAUGGGCGGAAGCCUGAUGCAGCAACGCCGCGUGAGGGAUGACGGCCUUCGGGUUGUAAACCUCUUUUAGCAGGGAAGAAGCGAAAGUGACGGUACCUGCAGAAAAAGCGCCGGCUAACUACGUGCCAGCAGCCGCGGUAAUACGUAGGGCGCAAGCGUUAUCCGGAAUUAUUGGGCGUAAAGAGCUCGUAGGCGGUUUGUCGCGUCUGCUGUGAAAUCCGGAGGCUCAACCUCCGGCCUGCAGUGGGUACGGGCAGACUAGAGUGCGGGGGAGAUUGGAAUUCCUGGUGUAGCGGUGGAAUGCGCAGAUAUCAGGAGGAACACCGAUGGCGAAGGCAGAUCUCUGGGCCGUAACUGACGCUGAGGAGCGAAAGGGUGGGGAGCAAACAGGCUUAGAUACCCUGGUAGUCCACCCCGUAAACGUUGGGAACUAGUUGUGGGGUCCAUUCCACGGAUUCCGUGACGCAGCUAACGCAUUAAGUUCCCCGCCUGGGGAGUACGGCCGCAAGGCUAAAACUCAAAGGAAUUGACGGGGACCCGCACAAGCGGCGGAGCAUGCGGAUUAAUUCGAUGCAACGCGAAGAACCUUACCAAGGCUUGACAUAUACGAGAACGGGCCAGAAAU
Molecule: ribosomal RNA, 935 nt
Filed under: Microbacterium maritypicum
Lineage: Bacteria; Bacillati; Actinomycetota; Actinomycetes; Micrococcales; Microbacteriaceae
Description: bacterial SSU rRNA
Rfam family: Bacterial small subunit ribosomal RNA
Source: RNAcentral